This 76-nucleotide transfer RNA is filed under the name Candidatus Omnitrophota bacterium. Its description in RNAcentral is "Candidatus Omnitrophica bacterium (sediment metagenome) tRNA-Met". It matches the Rfam family "tRNA". Rfam says of the family: Transfer RNA (tRNA) molecules are approximately 80 nucleotides in length. Their secondary structure includes four short double-helical elements and three loops (D, anti-codon, and T loops). Further hydrogen bonds mediate the characteristic L-shaped molecular structure. tRNAs have two regions of fundamental functional importance: the anti-codon, which is responsible for specific mRNA codon recognition, and the 3' end, to which the tRNAs corresponding amino acid is attached (by aminoacyl-tRNA synthetases). tRNAs cope with the degeneracy of the genetic code in two manners: having more than one tRNA (with a specific anti-codon) for a particular amino acid; and 'wobble' base-pairing, i.e. permitting non-standard base-pairing at the 3rd anti-codon position. The record is from RNAcentral. Lineage: Bacteria; Pseudomonadati; Candidatus Omnitrophota.
GGCGGGGUAGCUCAGCUGGUAGAGCAUACGGUUCAUACCCGUAGCGUCGAGAGUUCGAUCCUCUCCCCCGCCACCA